RNAcentral lists this ribosomal RNA (549 nucleotides) under uncultured Glomeromycotina. RNAcentral describes it as "SSU rRNA". It matches the Rfam family "Eukaryotic small subunit ribosomal RNA", at positions 548 to 1098 of the family's 1831-position model. Lineage: Eukaryota; Fungi; Glomeromycota. The record is from RNAcentral.
UUGGAGGGCAAGUCUGGUGCCAGCAGCCGCGGUAAUUCCAGCUCCGAUAGCGUAUAUUAAAGUUGUUGCAGUUAAAAAGCUCGUAGUUGAAUUUCGGGGUUAGUAGGUUGGUCAUGCCUCUGGUAUGUACUGGUCUCACUGAUUCCUCCUUCCUGAUGAGCCGUAAUGCCAUUAAUUUGGUGUUGCGGGGAAUUUGGACUGUUACUUUGAAAAAAUUAGAGUGUUUAAAGCAAGCUAACGCUUGAAUACAUUAGCAUGGAAUAAUGAAAUAGGACGUUCGAUCCUAUUUUGUUGGUUUCUAGGAUUGACGUAAUGAUUAAUAGGGAUAGUUGGGGGCAUUAGUAUUCAAUUGUCAGAGGUGAAAUUCUUGGAUUUAUUGAAGACUAACUACUGCGAAAGCAUUUGCCAAGGAUGUUUUCAUUAAUCAAGAACGAAAGUUAGGGGAUCGAAGACGAUCAGAUACCGUCGUAGUCUUAACCAUAAACUAUGCCGACUAGGGAUCGGAUGAUGUUAAUUUUUUAAUGACUCAUUCGGCGCCUUACGGGAAAC